Molecule: ribosomal RNA, 431 nt
Filed under: uncultured bacterium
Lineage: Bacteria
Description: partial 16S ribosomal RNA
Rfam family: Bacterial small subunit ribosomal RNA
Source: RNAcentral
CCUACGGGAGGCAGCAGUGAGGAAUAUUGGUCAAUGGGCGCGAGCCUGAACCAGCCAAGUAGCGUGAAGGACGAAGGCCUAUGGGUCGUAAACUUCUUUUAUAGGGGAAUAUGUACCCUAAGAAUAAGGAUCGGCUAACUCCGUGCCAGCAGCCGCGGUAAUACGGAGGAUCCGAGCGUUAUCCGGAUUUAUUGGGUUUAAAGGGAGCGUAGGUGGAUAUAUAAGUCAGUUGUGAAAGUUUGCGGCUCAACCGUAAAAUUGCAGUUGAUACUGUAUAUCUUGAGUACAGUAGAGGUGGGCGGAAUUCGUGGUGUAGCGGUGAAAUGCUUAGAUAUCACGAAGAACUCCAAUUGCGAAGGCAGCUCACUACGGUCACUGACACUGAGGCUCGAAAGUGUGGGUAUCAAACAGGAUUAGAUACCCUUGUAGUC